This is an unclassified non-coding RNA of Otolemur garnettii (small-eared galago), 101 nucleotides long. It matches the Rfam family "Y RNA". From Rfam's summary of the family: Y RNAs are components of the Ro ribonucleoprotein particle (Ro RNP), in association with Ro60 and La proteins. Lineage: Eukaryota; Metazoa; Chordata; Mammalia; Primates; Galagidae. The record is from Ensembl.
GGCUGGUCUGAGUGCAGUGGUGUUUACAACUAAGUGAUCACAACCAGUGACAGAUUCCUUUGUUCCCUCUCCAUUCCCACUGCUUUACUGAUUAGCCUUUA